Leguminivora glycinivorella is the source of this 1313-nucleotide long non-coding RNA. RefSeq lists it as uncharacterized. The record is from RefSeq and is a predicted model, not a curated record. Lineage: Eukaryota; Metazoa; Arthropoda; Insecta; Lepidoptera; Tortricidae. The transcript is spliced from 4 exons.
UAAACCUAUUUCGUGACAUUUAUAGAGCAAUUGUUUUAUUUUUAGGAUAUAAGGGGAGACUAAUUUCAUUUUCAGGUGGUUGCCUACUACUGCCUGCAGACAGCUUUUAGCAUCUGAGAAGAUUAUGGCCUUGGGGAUUUUGUGCGAUUCAGCAUAUGCCAAGGCUUCCAUAAGAGCAAUGGAUUCGCCAGUGAAGACAGAAGCCUGAGGUGGACAUUUAUAUGGUAGGAGGAUACGAUACCUAGGGAUCCAUACCGCGGCUCCCACAUAGCUUCCAGGUCCCAAUUUUGAGGCGUCAGUAAAAAUGGAUGCCUCAUCAGACAGGGCCUGUAAUCUUGAAGUGAGCGGGUGAUCCGAUAAGGAACAGGCCUUAAAUACGUAUCGGUCUGACAAAAGUUGCCUUCGAAUGAAGAGGGGCGGAUCCACACACUCAACCUGUAAAGCAUUCUUGGGGUUCGAGAAUAAAUGAGGCAUAAUCAAUUUGGCUACGAAUCAGUGCAUUGUAUAGCAGCUUUUGGCAGUAGGGGUGUGCACCCCACCAGACUCCAGAAAGGGCGCGGAGAACAUUGAUACCUCUCUCGCAUUUACCAACUACAUAGUUAAGGUGAUGAAUACCAGACAUUUUGGAGUCCAAAAAUACACCAAGAAACUUCACAAAGUUGCAGCUAGGAAUAAUUUGGUCCUCAUAUUGAAGGUUGACGGCAGGAAUAGUUUGCCGACGUGUGAAGGUCACUGUACAGCUUUUAGAAGGGGAAAGAGAUAGACCAUGAUCAUCUAACCAGUCAUUCAGAUAUGCUAGAGCCUCAUUGAGUCUGUCAGCUGCUUCGUCGGUAUGAUGAGCUGUGGAGUAAAUGACCAAGUCAUCUGCAUACUGGAGGAUGCUGCAGAAAGGGGAGACAGAUUGCUCUAUAUCAUAGGUAUAUAGGUUAUAAAGAAUGGGACUAAGGACAGAUCCUUGAGGAAGGCCUCGCCAUACAGUAAGCGGAGAGUACAUAGCAUUCCCAAACCGAAUUUUAAUCGUUCUGCCCAUGAAUAGCUUAAAAAUAAUGUCGACUAUUCUCGAUGGGAUGCUCAGCUGACGCAAUUUUGCUCUGAGCAGAGGUAGUUGGACAUUAUCGUAUGCAGCGGAGAUGUCAAGAAAGCAUCCAACUAGUUGCUGUUUUUUAGAGAGUGCCAAUCUGAUAUCAGAGGUGUUCGAAGAUUUUACCCAUAGUGGCAGAUAGAGCUAUGGGGCGAUAAGAAGUGGAUUGCUGCGGGUCCUUGCCUGGCUUCAAGAUUGGGAUUACAAUCUGUGACUUCCAAUCCUCUGGGAC